This 100-nucleotide non-coding RNA is filed under the name Striatella unipunctata. Lineage: Eukaryota; Bacillariophyta; Striatellaphyceae; Striatellales; Striatellaceae. The record is from RNAcentral.
CACCCCAAGACGUGCGUCGUUUGUUGAUCGAGACGGGAUCACGACAACAACAACAACAAAAAGACGGACGCAUUGGUCCGUUGCCCAACGUGAAAGCGGC